AUCGCUUCUCAGCCUUUUGGCUAAGAUUAAGUGUAGUAUCUGUUCUUAUCAGUUUGAUUUAUAUAAAAAAAAAAAAGUAUCUGGUAUGUCAGCUAUUACCAAAGGCCUGGGAAUUCUGU
Small nuclear RNA from Callithrix jacchus (white-tufted-ear marmoset), 119 nucleotides. Its record names the gene U2. It matches the Rfam family "U2 spliceosomal RNA". From Rfam's summary of the family: U2 is a small nuclear RNA (snRNA) component of the spliceosome (involved in pre-mRNA splicing). Complementary binding between U2 snRNA (in an area lying towards the 5' end but 3' to hairpin I) and the branchpoint sequence (BPS) of the intron results the bulging out of an unpaired adenosine, on the BPS, which initiates a nucleophilic attack at the intronic 5' splice site, thus starting the first of two transesterification reactions that mediate splicing. Lineage: Eukaryota; Metazoa; Chordata; Mammalia; Primates; Cebidae. The record is from Ensembl.